ACUGUUGUCAGGGCCAUUUAAAUAGGCGUUAUCAGUCGCUAUAAGCCCCAUAGAUGUGGGUCAGUAGGGGCUACUGCACCCACUAGUAGGUUUUAAUCAUCUAUUCACAAGGUAGAUAAUAAGGUGCUGUA
Long non-coding RNA from Sebastes umbrosus (honeycomb rockfish), 131 nucleotides. RefSeq lists it as uncharacterized. The record is from RefSeq and is a predicted model, not a curated record. The transcript is spliced from 3 exons. Lineage: Eukaryota; Metazoa; Chordata; Actinopteri; Perciformes; Sebastidae.